Molecule: ribosomal RNA, 559 nt
Filed under: Hypocreales sp. BSB1-3-5
Lineage: Eukaryota; Fungi; Ascomycota; Sordariomycetes; Hypocreales
Description: SSU rRNA
Rfam family: Eukaryotic small subunit ribosomal RNA
Source: RNAcentral
AAUUAUACCGCGAAACUGCGAAUGGCUCAUUAUAUAAGUUAUCGUUUAUUUGAUAAUACUUUACUACUUGGAUAACCGUGGUAAUUCUAGAGCUAAUACAUGCUGAAAAUCCCGACUUCGGAAGGGAUGUAUUUAUUAAAUUAAAAACCAAUGCCCCUCGGGGCUCUCUGGUGAAUCAUGAUAACUAGUCGAAUCGACAGGCCUUGUGCCGGCGAUGGCUCAUUCAAAUUUCUUCCCUAUCAACUUUCGAUGUUUGGGUAUUGGCCAAACAUGGUGGCAACGGGUAACGGAGGGUUAGGGCUCGACCCCGGAGAAGGAGCCUGAGAAACGGCUACUACAUCCAAGGAAGGCAGCAGGCGCGCAAAUUACCCAAUCCCGACACGGGGAGGUAGUGACAAUAAAUACUGAUACAGGGCUCUUUUGGGUCUUGUAAUCGGAAUGAGUACAAUUUAAAUCCCAUGUAACGAGGAACAAUUGGAGGGCAAGUCUGGUGCCAGCAGCCGCGGUAAUUCCAGCUCCAAUAGCGUAUAUUAAAGUUGUUGUGGUUAAAAAGCUCGUA